Homo sapiens (human) is the source of this 871-nucleotide long non-coding RNA. RefSeq lists it as uncharacterized. The record is from RefSeq and is a predicted model, not a curated record. The transcript is spliced from 2 exons. Lineage: Eukaryota; Metazoa; Chordata; Mammalia; Primates; Hominidae.
UAAGAGAAAUCCAGAGACAGAUAGUUUAGUGAUAGUAUGGUGGCUCCAUGGUGUCAUCAGAUAUGCAGGCUCAUGUCUUUAUGCUUUGUUAAACUCAAAGUGAGUGUCUUCCUUCUUUAGAGUAACCCUCUGGCCCAAGAUGGCUGCUGGAGCCUCAGCUACUACAUGUGGAUUCCAGGCCAGAAGUAGAGGGAGGGGAAAACAAAGGAGUAUACCUUCCGGGGAUAUCAGCUUUUUUGUAUCAUCUUCCUGAGGUCCUGUGCAUUUCCAUAGUCACAUAUAUGCCCCUAACCGUCUUCUCAGGCCUUAAAUGUUUGGGCGUGUUGUGAAUCUCCAAGACUGAGCCACAAGAUGCAGCAUUUUCCUAAUGACCUCAGGCCCUUUUUGAAUGGGCACUUUUGGGAAUCAGCGUUCUGCAAAGCAUACCUUGGGAAGCCACAGAGAGCUUUUCCCUGAAGCAGGGUUUCUCAACCUGUACGUUGUUGGCAUUUGGGGCAGGAUAAUUCUUAGUUGUGGGCGGCUGUCCUGUGCAUUGGAGGGUAUUUACCAGCAUCCCUGGCCUCUGCUCACCAGAUGCCAAUAGCAAUUCCUCCCCCACCCUGUUGUGACAACCAAAAGUGUCCCCAGGUAUUGCCAAAUGUUCCCUGCUGGCAAAAUGGCCCUCAGAUGAGAACCUUUACUCUAGGGAAAUUUCUAGAAUCAAGAAAAUACAUUGCAAUGAUAGGAGAGACCACUCUCUCAGGUAUGAAUAUUCAGCUGACUGUUAGAGUCCUUGGCAAUAAGAUUGUUAUUUUUUAAAAGAGACAGUAUUACUGGUGAAGAUUCAUUUCAAAAAUGGAAAUGAAAAUAAAAGUUGCUGUUUCUAUGAUAA